Molecule: ribosomal RNA, 253 nt
Filed under: uncultured bacterium
Lineage: Bacteria
Description: partial 16S ribosomal RNA
Rfam family: Bacterial small subunit ribosomal RNA
Source: RNAcentral
UACGGGGGGGGUAAGCGUUGUUCGGAAUUACUGGGCGUAAAGGGCGCGUAGGCGGCCUUCUAAGUCGGACGUGAAAGCCCCAGGCUUAACCUGGGAACUGCGUCCGAUACUGGGAGGCUUGGAUUCGGGAGAGGGAUGUGGAAUUCCAGGUGUAGCGGUGAAAUGCGUAGAUAUCUGGAGGAACACCGGUGGCGAAGGCGGCAUCCUGGACCGAGAUCGACGCUGAGGCGCGAAAGCUAGGGGAGCAAACGGG